Molecule: long non-coding RNA, 1642 nt
Organism: Triticum aestivum (bread wheat)
Lineage: Eukaryota; Viridiplantae; Streptophyta; Magnoliopsida; Poales; Poaceae
Exons: 4
Source: RefSeq, a predicted model, not a curated record
CAGAGAAAAAUCCUCCAAGCGCAUCUCAACCUCCAGCGCAUCGCCACCCGCUGCCGCGAGCCGCUGCCCGCCGGCCCCAGCCCCGCCACAGGCUACAGCGCGCCGCCACCGCCUACCCCGCCGGCACUCCUACCCCUACCCCAAGUGCCUCCCACGCUCGCUACGUUCUACCGCCGGCGACACUCGACGCCGCGGCCGUUGCCGGCUCCCACACCCGCGGGCCUUUAUCUCCCCGGCGGCCGCCGCCGCCGCCCUGCUCGUCCAGCGGGCUGGCCCUGUCCAUGGGGCGUAGGGGCUACCCGCGCCCUUCGACGCCCGCACGCGCCUCCUUCUGCCCUUCCGCCGCGGACGAUGCCGACUUCUCUGAGUCUAAUGCGAUCCUGGUGGUGGCCACGCCCUGCGAGAGUCUGCUGCUGCUCAGCCCAGCGUCUUGCCGUGGCGGGCGCCUGUCGUCGGAGCUCUGGUUGUCGGUUCCAGAGUCGGGUGGUUCCACACAGGGGCGCAUAUCCCGUUGUGCCACCAAUCACUUAAUUCGGCUCUCUUGAGCUGCCCGGCUUCGGCGGCGAAGAUGAUGGCGAUGCCUAGGACAUAACGGCCACAUGGGAUGAAACUAGCAGAGAUGAAGAAGGCGGUGGUCGUUGGGAGGAGAAGAUUGCCCGGAAGCUGGAGGACGUGCACCAGCUGCGGUUGCUGGACAACCGCUACGUUUAGUGGCUGAGGGAAUUGUUGGGCUACGAGAAUCAGUCGCUGAUAAGAGGGCUGAGGCUGAGAAGAUCAAGAGGGAUCAGAGAUUGUGCUCAAUUGUUGGUGGUCAGGACGUCAGUUUGCAGGAGUUAUCUGAAGAAAGGACUCACUAUCUGGUUAAAUGUUCCAUUGGAUGCCCUUGCAAGAAGGAUUGCUGUGGUGGUUCAGCGUCAUUGCCCCUCCUGCAUCAACAAUCUGGUGAUCCAUAUGCAAAGGUUCAGAAGAGCUAUUUUGUGUACAUGAGUUGCUACUGGCAGUGGACAGAUUGUCUAUGCAGAGUGCGUAGAGAAAAAAAUGCUCACACACAAACACAAACGACAUCCAGUAGGCGCUUGGAACACCCGACAGAUUGAAAGCACAGAAGCAAAGAUUUCCAAUACGAGGCCACGAUGCCCGACAGAGAUGUAGCCAAUAUGUGCCCAAUCCUUAUUUCUUGAUGUUGGAACAACAAGUAAGAGCAUGUUCAUGUUUACUUAUUAUGUUUUUUGAGAAAUUUAUGGGAUUUACAAGCUGAAAUUAUUGACUGCUUCAAAAUAUGUUUUAACCAAAACUGUUUGCACGAUAUUUCCCUGGUUCUGCAUUCAUGGAAUUGCUAAAAAAAUGAACAAGUUCAGUGAUAGUUUUGUUCCUAUUAAUAUUUCGUCCAAGGUGCCAGUUUGUUUCUUAAGUUUUUCUUUUAACUUCAAAAUUCAGAGGAAGUCAAUGUUUGUUUUAUAGUUCAAACCAAUCACUGGUAAGAUCUAUUCCAAAACGAUAUUGUCUCUUGAUGCGAGGUUACCAAAAUAUAUUCUUCAUCAUGGCCAAAGAUAAAUUUAAUUCCGGGUUAAAAACUUUAGAAUAACUGUGUUUAUAGAUUUUCUAGCUAAGGGUUGCUUUUGUUUAGCUGGAACUCAAAUCA